This 519-nucleotide long non-coding RNA is filed under the name Homo sapiens (human). Its description in RNAcentral is "non-protein coding lnc-MED15-1:11". The record is from RNAcentral. Lineage: Eukaryota; Metazoa; Chordata; Mammalia; Primates; Hominidae.
AAAAAAAAAAAAAAAAAAAAAAAAAAAUUGGUGGAAGGGGAAUGUAAAAGGAGGAAAAUACACGGAAGAGAAUUGCUGUCCUGGCUGAGUCCAGAGAGAUAACUGAGGGUCCCAGACAAGGAUCAAGAGAACGGGAUUGGCCUCCAGAGGCAGAGGUUCCAAAUGGGAGUGGGCUUCCUCCUAGAAAGACUUUCUGGAGGAGACCCCCCUACUGUGUAACAGAGGAGGACUUUGGGAUUAAGAAAAGCAUUCCAGGAAGCCGACAGUGUCAGCAAACGUGGAGAGGGGUGUCAACCAGGAACCUUGUGAUGCGUGAGGAAAAAAUAUUACCUUUUCCCCCUACUCUUUCUGGCACCCAACAAACAAGUGGGGUGGCAAAGACACCCCACUUGGGACAACUGGCAAAAGGCUGGAGUGCAGUGGCAUGGUGGCAUGAUCUUGGCUCACUGCAACUGCUGCAUCCUGGGCUCAACUGAUUCUUCUGCCUCAGCCUCCUGAGUAGCUGGGACUACAGGCACA